GUGGGGACCGCCGCUGCUAAAGCGGAGGAAGGAAUGGGCAACGGUAGGUCAGUAUGCCCCGAAUAUCCCGGGCUACACGCGAGCUACAAUGGUUGGUACAAUGGGUAUCUACCCGAGAGGGGAUGGAAAUCUCCUAAAACCAAUCUCAGUCCGGAUUGAGGGCUGCAACUCGCCCUCAUGAAGCUGGAAUCCGUAGUAAUCGCGUUUCAACAGAACGCGGUGAAUACGUCCCUGCUCCUU
This 240-nucleotide ribosomal RNA is filed under the name uncultured Methanosaeta sp. Its description in RNAcentral is "partial 16S ribosomal RNA". It matches the Rfam family "Archaeal small subunit ribosomal RNA", at positions 1098 to 1338 of the family's 1478-position model. Lineage: Archaea; Methanobacteriati; Methanobacteriota; Methanomicrobia; Methanotrichales; Methanotrichaceae. The record is from RNAcentral.